UAGCUUAACCUUCGGGAGGGCGCUUACCACUUUGUGAUUCAUGACUGGGGUGAAGUCGUAACAAGGUAACCGUAGGGGAACCUGCGGUUGGAUCACCUCCUUACCUGAAGAUAC
Molecule: ribosomal RNA, 114 nt
Filed under: Pantoea agglomerans
Lineage: Bacteria; Pseudomonadati; Pseudomonadota; Gammaproteobacteria; Enterobacterales; Erwiniaceae
Description: partial 16S ribosomal RNA
Rfam family: Bacterial small subunit ribosomal RNA
Source: RNAcentral